RNAcentral lists this ribosomal RNA (253 nucleotides) under uncultured bacterium. RNAcentral's name for it is "partial 16S ribosomal RNA". It matches the Rfam family "Bacterial small subunit ribosomal RNA", at positions 524 to 776 of the family's 1533-position model. The record is from RNAcentral.
UACGGGGGGAGCAAGCGUUGUUCGGAUUUACUGGGCGUAAAGGGCGCGUAGGCGGCGCAACAAGUCACUUGUGAAAUCUCCGGGCUUAACCCGGAGCGGCCAAGUGAUACUGUCGUGCUAGAGUGCGGAAGGGGCUACUGGAAUUCUCGGUGUAGCGGUGAAAUGCGUAGAUAUCGAGAGGAACACCUGCGGCGAAGGCGGGUUGCUGGGCUGAUACUGACGCUGAGGAGCGAAAGCCAGGGGAGCGAACGGG